UUUUUUUUUGGCUGGUCGGACAGGUGAGGUGACAUACAUAGUGCGCCCCGCAAAUUCAUUUUUACAGAUAUACAUCACAAGGGAAAUUGUAGCUUAACAUCAGAGUUCUCCGGUUUAGCCAAGGCUUAGCUCCGGACCCCACUGGUACUUGUCUAAUUUGGCUUGUCACUCGGCCUUGAGUAGGAUCAUGGUCUUUCAUGUUUGCUAUUUCUUCAGCGUAUUUCAUAUCCAUUUCAUGAAACACAAUAAUUUCUGAACAAAAUUUAAAUUCAGUGCCCUCUUUUCCGCUACAGUGUGUCAGGCGAUCAGGGAUACAAUUAAUAGAUGCAUCACGAAACCGUUGGUAUCAAAUCAGCAAAAGGAAAGAAUCCAGUUGAGUGCAAAGAUGACAAUCUUAAUGGAGAAAUAACUUUACUACUAGUAGGUAGAUUAAUUAAUCACGAAACCUUCUUGUUCCGUAUCGAACACGAGUCACCUAGCUAAUUGCAUGCACAUAAUCUCAGGUUCUUGUUAGUGGAGUUCUAAGUUCAAACCCCUCAAUAUUUCCCUGGUGUGCAUGCUAAUAUCAGGUGCUAACACUUUUCGAUUGCAACACGCAAACUCUAUCAAGACUCGAGUGAGGAUGAUGUCGAAUCUACCUGAGAAUAGACCGUGUUUGCCACUGACAGCUUACUAAAAUCGAAGAACACUACGCAGUACGCACUGUCAUUUUGAUCUAAUCACCUGCGUCACGUUAGCAACUUAUCUCCUUAGCACCAGGAGUGCUUUAAUUUUUCCUUGUUUGUGCAUGAGAGCAACUCGUGUGCUGCUGUGUAUGGAUAUUUUUCUUGACCAUUCUAUAUUUCACGUAAAGCCUAAAUCAGCAAAAGAGGGUUAGCAACAGAGUAGAUAUUUUAGAGGGUCCCAGAUGAGGACUUGCAUGCAGAUAAGGGUCAGUCAAUGAGCAAGUAACAGGAAGGUGCCUAAAAAGUACAAGAGAUGGGUGUGGAAUAAUCCACAGAUUCCUUUGUUGAAAUUGCUCGAAAGUUCUUGAUUCCUGCGUUGGAAAGAAGUUUCUUCAAAGUGGAGAAAUUUAUCCAGCAUGACACUGAUGUUGGUUAAGCAUGUAAGUUUCUCUGCUGAAGCACCUGAAAGCACGAUCCUGCACUCUUCAGGAAGCUCGAUGUCUUUUCAGGCUCUAGUUUAAAUUUAAAUUUUUUAAUCCCAACCAGAAAAAAGAAGAUGCUCCUCAUACAACUGAAUCAUCAAAUACGUCUUGGAAAAUAUAUAGUAGUAUGUAUGUCUCCUUACAAAAAUUACAAGUGCAAGAUUAUAUGCUUGCGAGAAGAAGUACUAUAUAGUCUUACAAGUGCAAGAUAUAUCAUCACAGAGGCUGAAACAGCAGGAGCCACAUCCUCAUGAGAGUCUUUUGGCAGCUCUGUGUCUUAGUAAAAAUGGAGAGAAAAGGCAGAUGAUCAAUACUUCUACCGUCAUGUGAUAUGUACGUAUAUCAUUAGUCAAGGUGGUCAUGAAUUCACAAUUGCAGAUGAUUCUGUAAUAUUGUUUUCACUUUAUUUUUCUAGAAAAAGAAAUUGUUAUCCGACAAUAUGCUUCUUAUUAUACAGUUCCACGUUGCUCCAACACCAAAUGAGAGCAAAGGUAUCGUUGGUCAUUCGUUCUGAGAAGCAUCAGGUACGUUCUAGACUCCGAAAUGCAAGACUUGGACUCGCAACAGUUAGCCUACCUCUCCUAAAUUAAACUAGGAAAACACUAAGAAAAAUAUAGACACAUAGUGAAUUAUAGCAUGAGCAUGCAGUAGGGGUUUUAAUUUUGUAGGAAGAUAUAUGCCCUUUUCUAAGAAGAUAUGCUAGUGGCACUUUAAAAAGCUAGAGCUCUGAUCUUCGACAGAUCGGCUUUAAGAAUGCUUGGUGGUCGUUGUAUCUGUGGCAGAAGAAUAUUACUAGCUGUCCAUGGUUGAUUCUUCCUAGGAAAUUACUAGCGUUUGUUGGAUGGUCUGAUAUGAUCACGGCUCUGCACGAUUUAUUCCUGAAUCUCUAAUAUUAUACAAGAAAAAGGAAAAUUCCAAAAGUGAGUCAAGUCAUGGUGAUAAUAUUAUUAUAUUUCAAUUAGUUUUUAGAACUGAAAUAUAGUUACUGCUCCUACAUUGGCAAUCUACUAGACUAUCAACAUAGGAAAAUAGAGUGUGUAUUGUAUACUUUCGAAGGUUGGAAGCAUGAUUAUGGGUGUCCGUAUCAUGCUUUAGAAUAAAAGAGUAAGUGAAGAAAAACCAUACGUUCCAAAGUGUUUAUUCCAUGAACUUUGGAGAUAGCAAAUGGCAGUGGCUAAGAGUUGCACAAAUUUUAUAACAAGAACCUCACACAACCAUACACUCCUUAUAGAAACACACGCGCCCGCGAACACACACGUACAGCCGUACAGCUGGAGGGCCCGGGUUUGCACUAUUUUCCCGACACACACAUACAUAUAGCCGUAGGUAGUAUGGGCUUUUGCCUGACGAAGCUCAUGUUUCUUGAGAGGGCUAGUCAUUGGUUAGUUGUGCACGAUAGGAACCGAGACAAAGCUAUCAGGCUUUUCAUCCACAUCCCCCACCCGAACAACGUUGACGGUCAGGCUCCGGGUCACCUUGGCCGUUGCCGUUUGCGACGGCUUGGUGGCGACGUUGUAGGCCUCAAUCCUCUCCACUUUCUUCACCCUCACCACGCCUUCGACUGGAAGCUCGUUGCUCAUGCCCACGCUCGCCCUAUUGUCCCCGCGGAACAUUUUCCUUAAUUUCUUCUUUGGAUGGAAGCAAUUCAACUUAGCUAAUUCCUGCUAGAUCGAUUGAUGUGUUUCCUUUGAGCUUGGUGUGGUCUCCAUUUAUAGGCUGCUAGCUAGCUGGAGGCGUGUUAUGGAGGGACUCUGCAGAGAUAUGAUACUGCUGAUGUGCAGUGAUCAAGAGCAAUCAGUCACAAAUUAAAGCUGCAGUGCUAUCAGUUCUUGCUACUUUUUUGGAUGCACAAACAUGAUGCUGUCCGAAAUAUGUUAGGU
Molecule: long non-coding RNA, 3027 nt
Filed under: Setaria viridis
Lineage: Eukaryota; Viridiplantae; Streptophyta; Magnoliopsida; Poales; Poaceae
Description: long non-coding RNA (SVIR_LNC002561)
Source: RNAcentral